AAAUGCGAUAAGUAGUGUGAAUUGCAGAAUUCAGUGAAUCAUCGAAUCUUUGAACGCACAUUGCGCCCCUUGGUAUUCCAUGGGGCAUGCCUGUUCGAGCGUCAUUUGUACCCUCAAGCUCUGCUUGGUGUUGGGUGUUUGUCCCGUCUCCGCGCGUGGACUCGCCCCAAAGUGAUUGGCAGCCGGCGUACUGGUCCCGGAGCGCAGCACAUGUCGCGCAAACGAGUGCCUUGGUACGGCGGCGUCCAUAAGCCCCUCUCUCACGCUCUUGACCUCGGAUCAGGUAGGGAUACCCGCUGAACUUAGGC
RNAcentral lists this unclassified non-coding RNA (308 nucleotides) under plant metagenome. RNAcentral's name for it is "partial contains 5.8S ribosomal RNA, internal transcribed spacer 2, and large subunit ribosomal RNA". The stretch from base 1 to 104 matches the Rfam family "5.8S ribosomal RNA", at positions 51 to 154 of the family's 154-position model. The record is from RNAcentral.